RNAcentral lists this transfer RNA (69 nucleotides) under Litoria personata (masked frog). RNAcentral describes it as "tRNA-His". It matches the Rfam family "tRNA". From Rfam's summary of the family: Transfer RNA (tRNA) molecules are approximately 80 nucleotides in length. Their secondary structure includes four short double-helical elements and three loops (D, anti-codon, and T loops). Lineage: Eukaryota; Metazoa; Chordata; Amphibia; Anura; Pelodryadidae. The record is from RNAcentral.
AGUGGAUAUAGUUUACUAAAAAUUUUAGUCUGUGAAUCUAAAGAUGAGGAUUAACACCUCUAUCCACCG